This 494-nucleotide ribosomal RNA is filed under the name uncultured bacterium. Its description in RNAcentral is "partial 16S ribosomal RNA". It matches the Rfam family "Bacterial small subunit ribosomal RNA", at positions 28 to 507 of the family's 1533-position model. The record is from RNAcentral.
GACGAACGCUGGCGGCGUGCUUAACACAUGCAAGUCGAACGGUGAAGCGCCUUCCUUUUUGGUGGGUGUGGAUGAGUGGCGAACGGGUGAGUAACACGUGAGUAACCUGCCCCCUUCUUCUGGAUAACCGCAUGAAAGUGUGGCUAAUACGGGAUAUUCUGGGUCUGUCGCAUGAUGGGUCUGGGAAAGAUAUUGUUUCGGUGGGGGAUGGGCUCGCGGCCUAUCAGCUUGUUGGUGGGGUGAUGGCCUACCAAGGCGGUGACGGGUAGCCGGCCUGAGAGGGUGGACGGUCACACUGGGACUGAGACACGGCGCAGACUCCUACGGGAGGCAGCAGUGGGGAAUAUUGCACAAUGGGCGAAAGCCUGAUGCAGCGACGCCGCGUGAGGGAUGGAGGCCUUCGGGUUGUGAACCUCUUUCGCCAGUGAAGCAGGCCUGCCUCGUUUGUGGGUGGGUUGACGGUAGCUGGAGAAGAAGCGCCGGCUAACUACGUG